UUGGAGAUAAGUGUUGCUAGAAUCCAAAUGGCUAAUCAGGAAGUCAAGGGGAAAGCAGAAGACCAGGCUAAGAGACAUGCUCUUAUGGUGAAGCGUUUUGAGAUAGACACCGCUUAUUAUUGCAAGAUCAGCCAAGCAUUAGAGUCAUCUAUGAAGGAGCACGACAUUACCAAGGAGAAGUUGGCUAGAGCUUUGAAGGUCAUUG
RNAcentral lists this long non-coding RNA (205 nucleotides) under Lathyrus oleraceus (garden pea). RNAcentral describes it as "Pisum sativum (pea) long non-coding RNA (PSAT_LNC007004)". Lineage: Eukaryota; Viridiplantae; Streptophyta; Magnoliopsida; Fabales; Fabaceae. The record is from RNAcentral.